CCUACGGGUGGCAGCAGUGGGGAAUAUUGCGCAAUGGGGGAAACCCUGAUGCAGCAACGCCGCGUGAAGGAAGACGGUUUUCGGAUUGUAAACUUCUGUUCUCAGUGAAGAAUAAUGACGGUAGCUAUGACGCAAGCCACGGCUAACUCUGUGCCAGCAGCCGCGGUAAUACGGAGGGGGAAAGCGUUGUCCGGAAUUACUGUGUGUAAAGGGAGCGCAAGCGGGAAGCCAAGUCAGCUGUGAAAUCUACGGGCUUAACAUGUAGACUGCAGUUGAUACUGGUUUACUUGAGUGAUGUAGAGGCUGGCGGAAUUCCGGGUGUAGCGGUGAAAUGCGUAGAUAUUCGGAGGAACACCAGUGGCGAAGGCGGCCAACUGGGCUUUAACUGACGCUGAGGCUCGAAAGUGUGGGGAGCAAACAGGAUUAGAUACCCUUGUAGUC
This 441-nucleotide ribosomal RNA is filed under the name uncultured bacterium. RNAcentral describes it as "partial 16S ribosomal RNA". It matches the Rfam family "Bacterial small subunit ribosomal RNA", at positions 338 to 795 of the family's 1533-position model. The record is from RNAcentral.